This 497-nucleotide ribosomal RNA is filed under the name uncultured bacterium. Its description in RNAcentral is "partial 16S ribosomal RNA". It matches the Rfam family "Bacterial small subunit ribosomal RNA", at positions 28 to 507 of the family's 1533-position model. The record is from RNAcentral.
GAUGAACGCUGGCGGCGUGCCUAAUACAUGCAAGUCGAGCGAACAGACGAGGAGCUUACUCCUCUGACGUUAGCGGCGGACGGGUGAGUAACACGUGGAUAACCUACCUAUAAGACUGGGAUAACUUCGGGAAACCGGAGCUAAUACCGGAUAACAUGUUGAACCGCAUGGUUCAACAGUGAAAGACGGUCUUGCUGUCACUUAUAGAUGGAUCCGUGUCGCAUUAGCUAGUUGGUAAGGUAACGGCUUACCAAGGCAACGAUGCGUAGCCGACCUGAGAGGGUGAUCGGCCACACUGGAACUGAGACACGGUCCAGACUCCUACGGGAGGCAGCAGUAGGGAAUCUUCCGCAAUGGGCGAAAGCCUGACGGAGCAACGCCGCGUGAGUGAAGAAGGUCUUCGGAUCGUAAAACUCUGUUAUUAGGGAAGAACAAAUGUGUAAGUAACUAUGCACGUCUUGACGGUACCUAAUCAGAAAGCCACGGCUAACUACGUG